This 559-nucleotide long non-coding RNA is filed under the name Equus caballus (horse). Its description in RNAcentral is "lncRNA (ENSECAG00000053767.1)". The record is from RNAcentral. Lineage: Eukaryota; Metazoa; Chordata; Mammalia; Perissodactyla; Equidae.
GUCAGUGUGGCUGGGGAGGGGUGACCAAGGGGGGAGGGGUAGGAGGAGGAGAACUAGCCAGUAGCUAGGUCACUAGGGACUUGUAGGUAUAACAAGGGCCUUGAAUUUUAAUUCAAGUGCAGUGGGAAGGCCUUAGAGGGAGCUGAGCAGGGGAGAAAGGUGAUCUGACUUAUAGUCUAAACCGUUACUCCGCUGCUCUGCGGAGAAUAUUCUGCUGUGGAAAAAGAAGGAGGUAGGAAGACCAGCUGCUUCGCUCUUGUAGAGUAAAGUGAAAGCUGAUGGUGGCCUGAAGUAUGGAGAUGGCAGUGCAAGUGGUGACAAGUGAAUGUACUUCUGUUCGAGGUAUAGUCUGUGAAAAUGAAUAACAAUCCCACUUAUGCAUCUCUUAUUGACUAUGGAGCGUAUGAAAGAAAAGCUCUGGAGGUACAAAGAUAAAUGAGCCAUGAGACUUUCCUUCGAGCAGCUCACAGUCCAACAGAGGAGAUAGACAAAGCAACAAACACAGCAGCAAAAUAAUAAAUAUAAAUUUAUGCAAAUACCAAAGUAGCACGGAGGAGGG